This 469-nucleotide long non-coding RNA is filed under the name Lupinus angustifolius (narrow-leaved blue lupine). RNAcentral describes it as "long non-coding RNA (LANG_LNC003322)". Lineage: Eukaryota; Viridiplantae; Streptophyta; Magnoliopsida; Fabales; Fabaceae. The record is from RNAcentral.
CAGCACCUUGGAGUGGUUUCACGGUGGUCAGGGGAUACCUAAGGAUCCUCGUAGCAAUGGUUAUAGUCAUCAAACUAAUAAUGAUUUUGUGUUGUUGUGAGAAAGUUUUUUCUGUGUUUCUAUAAUCCUUGUUAUGCCUCUUGCUUUUUGGAUACUAAGGGCUGGGAUGUUUGUUAUUAAUCUUCUUUGUUAUGCAGUGAAUAUAGAAAUUGAAAUGGACUUGAAGGAUGGGAUGAGGGAAAAGCAUAGUUCUUCACGCAUACAAGUAUUGGUUACUAUUACCCAGACCAAUCUAGUUUAUGCAACUUAUAUUACUUGAAAGAAAACAUCAUGAGUUAUGAUGGAAUGCAUAUGAAUGUAAUUAUUUACUAUAUGUACCUGCGAGAAUUAUUUGUGACAUAAAUAAUAUAUGAUGGGGAUGAAUGCAUGAUGAAUUGCUAACCUGGUGUUGGUGUCUCACUUACUGUUU